UACGGAGGGUGCAAGCGUUAUCCGGAAUCACUGGGUUUAAAGGGUGCGUAGGCGGCUGUAUAAGUCAGAGGUGAAAGCCCGGAGCUUAACUUCGGAACUGCCUUUGAUACUGUAUAGCUUGAAAUAGGUUGAGGUCAGCGGAAUGUGGCAUGUAGCGGUGAAAUGCAUAGAUAUGCCAUAGAACACCAAUUGCGAAGGCAGCUGGCUGGACCUUAUUUGACGCUGAGGCACGACAGCGUGGGGAGCAAACCGG
Molecule: ribosomal RNA, 253 nt
Filed under: uncultured bacterium
Lineage: Bacteria
Description: partial 16S ribosomal RNA
Rfam family: Bacterial small subunit ribosomal RNA
Source: RNAcentral